CCUACGGGAGGCAGCAGUGGGGAAUAUUGGACAAUGGGGGGAACCCUGAUCCAGCCAUGCCGCGUGUGUGAAGAAGGCCCUCGGGUUGUAAAGCACUUUCAGUGAGGAAGAACGCCUGGUGGUUAAUACCCAUCAGGAAAGACAUCACUCACAGAAGAAGCACCGGCUAACUCCGUGCCAGCAGCCGCGGUAAUACGGAGGGUGCGAGCGUUAAUCGGAAUUACUGGGCGUAAAGCGCGCGUAGGUGGCUUGAUAAGCCGGUUGUGAAAGCCCGGGCUCAACCUGGGAACGGCAUCCGGAACUGUCAAGCUAGAGUGCAGGAGAGGAAGGUAGAAUUCCCGGUGUAGCGGUGAAAUGCGUAGAGAUCGGGAGGAAUACCAGUGGCGAAGGCGGCCUUCUGGACUGACACUGACACUGAGGUGCGAAAGCGUGGGUAGCAAACAGGAUUAGAUACCCGUGUAGUC
This 464-nucleotide ribosomal RNA is filed under the name Vreelandella stevensii. RNAcentral describes it as "partial 16S ribosomal RNA". It matches the Rfam family "Bacterial small subunit ribosomal RNA", at positions 338 to 795 of the family's 1533-position model. Lineage: Bacteria; Pseudomonadati; Pseudomonadota; Gammaproteobacteria; Oceanospirillales; Halomonadaceae. The record is from RNAcentral.